Solanum lycopersicum (tomato) is the source of this 353-nucleotide long non-coding RNA. RefSeq lists it as uncharacterized. NCBI's taxonomy places the organism in Eukaryota, Viridiplantae, Streptophyta, Magnoliopsida, Solanales, Solanaceae. The record is from RefSeq and is a predicted model, not a curated record.
UUCAAAUCAAAAAGUUCAUCUUCCUCCAAUAUUUCUCUUUCUAAACUCAAGGAAGAAGAAGAAGGCAUGGAAGCUUGGGUUUGAGGAUUUCAAAAGAGCUUUUUCAUCAAUUUUCUUCAAGGUUUAUUAAUAUAGGGCAUCUUCACUCGACUGUUGAUAAAUCUCGCUUAGGAGAUCAGUGAUCUUUCGAAUUCAAGGGUGACUAGUUCUUCCGGGCUGCCUUGAGUUCUCUUUUGUUUAAGUCUACUAUUUUUUGACUCAGACUAUUGUUAAGGUACUGUUUAGUUUUGGGGAUUGUACCCCUUGUUCUUAGACUUAUCGUAAUUUUUAAAAUUACUCAGGUUGUAGGCGUA